This 497-nucleotide ribosomal RNA is filed under the name uncultured bacterium. RNAcentral's name for it is "partial 16S ribosomal RNA". It matches the Rfam family "Bacterial small subunit ribosomal RNA", at positions 28 to 507 of the family's 1533-position model. The record is from RNAcentral.
GAUGAACGCUGGCGGCGUGCCUAAUACAUGCAAGUCAAGCGAACAGACGAGGAGCUUGCUCCUCUGACGUUAGCGGCGGACGGGUGAGUAACACGUGGAUAACCUACCUAUAAGACUGGGAUAACUUCGGGAAACCGGAGCUAAAACCGGAUAAUAUAUUGAACCGCAUGGUUCAAUAGUGAAAGACGGUUUUGCUGUCACUUAUAGAUGGAUCCGCGCCGCAUUAGCUAGUUGGUAAGGUAACGGCUUACCAAGGCAACGAUGCGUAGCCGACCUGAGAGGGUGAUCGGCCACACUGGAACUGAGACACGGUCCAGACUCCUACGGGAGGCAGCAGUAGGGAAUCUUCCGCAAUGGGCGAAAGCCUGACGGAGCAACGCCGCGUGAGUGAUGAAGGUCUUCGGAUCGUAAAACUCUGUUAUUAGGGAAGAACAAAUGUGUAAGUAACUAUGCACGUCUUGACGGUACCUAAUCAGAAAGCCACGGCUAACUACGUG